CUAUCAGACACUCUUUAGGUUUCUUGAUUCCUUCAUUCUCGUUUGCAUAGUUUUCUGGUGCAGUUGCAGAGACUACAGAGCGACUCCAACCAAUUCGCAGAUAUGCCGACUGUUAGCGUUGGGAGGGAUCGUCUCUUUGCAGGCUUGGGGAAGACCUACACACAAGAAGAGUUCGAAGAACUUUGCUUCGAUUUUGGAAUCGAGCUUGACGACGUUACAACAGAGAAGGCUAUUAUCAGGAAGGAAAAGCAUCUCGACGAAGAAGCAACUGAGGAUGAGGAAGUUAUAUACAAAAUCGAAGUACCUGCGAACAGAUAUGAUUUGCUUUGCCUCGAAGGGCUUGUGCAAGCUCUCCGCAUUUUCAAUGGGCUCGAUGAGUUACCCAAAUAUAAGUUGUCCAAGAUUUUAAGUGACUCCAUGCUUAAAGUGCAUGUAAAACCAGAGACUUCGAAGAUUCGCCCCUUCAUUGUCUGUGCUGUUUUAAGAGGAGUUACUUUUGAUGAAGCGAGAUAUAAUAGCUUUAUUGACCUUCAAGAUAGACUCCAUCAAAAUAUUUGCCGGCGGAGGGCAUUAGUUGCUAUUGGCACUCAUGAUUUGGAUACAAUACAAGGUCCUUUCACGUAUGAGGCCUUGCCAUCUCGGGAUAUAAACUUUGUGCCACUGAAACAGGUGAAAAGAUUCAGGGCGGACGAGCUAAUGGAGUUUUACAAAUCAGAUCUGAAACUGAAGAAAUUCUUGCACAUAAUUGAGAAAUCACCAGUGUUCCCAGUCAUAUACGACUGCAACAGAACAGUGUUAUCCUUGCCUCCAAUUAUUAAUGGUGCACAUUCAGCAAUUACACUGAAGACAAAGAAUGUGUUUAUUGAAUGUACAGCAACUGAUUUAACAAAGGCCAAGAUUGUUUUGAAUACAAUGGUCACAACGUUUUCCGUGUACUGUGAAAGAAAAUUUGAGGUUGAACCUGUUGAGGUGGUGUCCUCUGAUGGGAAGUCAUGUGUUUAUCCUGAUCUCUCACUUUAUGAUUUGGAGGUUCCUUUGUCUUACAUCACUGGUUCAGUAGGCGUUUCUUUGGAGGCUAGCCAGGUCUGUAGUUUAUUGAACAAGAUGCAAUUACAUGCGGAAAAAUCUAUAACAAAAGAGGAAUGCAGUAUCCUUGUAUCUGCUCCUCCAACCAGAAGUGAUAUUCUCCAUGCUUGUGAUGUAAUGGAGGAUGUUGCGAUUGCGUACGGGUUCAAUAAAAUUCCCAAGAGGAAGCCUGCAUCUUUGAUGUCAGUUGCUUUGAAUCAAAUAAGCGAGCUUAUCAGAUUGGAGAUUGCAAUGAAUGGGUAUACAGAGGUGUUAACAUGGAUAUUGUGCUCAUACAAAGAGAAUUUCUUCAUGUUGAACCGUAAGGAUGACCAAUUGACAGCUUCAAUUAUUGCAAAUCCUCGUUCAGCCGAUUUCGAGAUGUCUCGAACAAGUCUCAUGCCAGGCAUAUUGAAAACUGUGGGGCACAACAAAGACCAUCCAAAGCCCAUAAAGAUAUUUGAAGUGGGUGAUGUGGUGGUAUUGGAUGAGGCAAAAGACGUUGGUGCAAGAAAUCGUCGCCAACUUGCUGCACUAUAUUGUGGUGCUAACUCAGGAUUCGAGUUGAUUCAUUCCCUGGUGGACAGAAUCAUGGAAGUACUUGGGACACCUUUUGUUCCUAUUGGAGAUGAGACAGGUUACUACAUUAGGCUGUCAGAUGAGCCUGAAUUUCUUCCCGGUAGACAAGCUAGCAUAAUUUUCAAAGGGAAGCACAUCGGAACCUUUGGCAUUGUGCAUCCAGAGGUCUCGAGUAACUUUGACAUCCCAGACCCAUGUUCCUUCAUGGAGGUUAACAUUGAAUCCUUCUUGUAGGAUAAGCUCCAUGCCCUGGAGGUAGUUCGCUACUGUUGUAUCACAGGUUUUUUGGAAUGGGAAUUCUGGCAGUCUGUGGGAGAGUAAAAGUAACAUAAAUGAAAUCUGAUGCAUAAGUCAAAUGAGCUAAAAACAAGACCACUUCAUUGGUAGGCUUGAGCAGAAAUGUAGUUAGUGGUAUGAGUUCAUAAACGUCCAAAAAAGUAGGAGCGACACUCCAAGGCUACGAUGUGGGUUUUUUAUCCAAAAGAUGACUUGACUCCUCUGAAUUACUCCAAGCUUGUGCAAUGCUCCAUCCUUUCGUCUUCGCAAGCUGUAAUUAGUUAGAGAAUUGCUAUAGUCAGGGAAGUAGUUAGGGAAGCUGUAUUUCUCCCAUAAUUCUAGAUCAUCAAGUCUAUGGUUUCUCUAUACAUGUUGCCUGAUGUUUCAGCUUAUUAACAAACGUGUACUAACAAAACUAUUAUUCGGUUACAUUUGUUCUAAAUGUAAAUAUUAGAAACACCACCACCCCACCCCACCCCCACCCACAAAAAAAAAGAAAAAAAAAGGGGAUGGUAUCGUCUUAUUUACUAUAGACAAGGUUUCAAUUAUCUAUCAUGAAGCCUCUCGAUUUCAACUCCCACUACAUUGUACUGUCACUUUUUGGGUGUUUAUGUCUAAACAAGAUUGGGUGCUCAAUGGGGCCAAUUUUGUAAAUGAGGAAAUGAGGGGCACAACAUUUUCUUGUAAGCAAUUUUGCAUUGUGGGUUUACUAAUAUUUAAAAGCUCUUACAAAACAAGCUUAAUGUGCAGGUUUAA
Molecule: RNA transcript, 2676 nt
Organism: Macadamia integrifolia
Lineage: Eukaryota; Viridiplantae; Streptophyta; Magnoliopsida; Proteales; Proteaceae
Gene name: phenylalanine--tRNA ligase beta subunit, cytoplasmic-like
Exons: 21
Source: RefSeq, a predicted model, not a curated record